Molecule: ribosomal RNA, 1352 nt
Filed under: metagenome
Description: bacterial LSU rRNA
Rfam family: Bacterial large subunit ribosomal RNA
Source: RNAcentral
ACCCGGGCGAAAGGGACCGAAAUUAAGUAGGGAAGCCAGUGAAUGACGAGGCGAGAAAAGCUCUGGGGAAUGCUAAGGUGCCCGUACCGCAAACCGACACAGGUAGAUGAGGAGAGAAUCCUAAGGCCAACGGGAGAAGGGUUGUUAAGGAACUCGGCAAAAUUACCCCGUAACUCCGGGAUAAGGGGAGCCCCUGUGAGGGGGCCGCAGAGAAUAGGCCCAAGCGACUGUUUACCAAAAACACAGGUCUAUGCUAAAUCGAAAGAUGACGUAUAUGGGCUGACGCCUGCCCGGUGCUGGAAGGUUAAGAGGAGGGCUUAGCGCAAGCGAAGGUCUGAAUUGAAGCCCCAGUAAACGGCGGCCGUAACGAUAACGGUCCUAAGGUAGCGAAAUUUCUUGUCAGGUAAGUUCUGACCCGCACGAAUGGCGUAACGAUUUGGGCGCUGUCUCAACAGCCCACCCGGCGAAAUUGUAGUACCGGUGAAGAUGCCGGUUACCCGCAACUAGACGGAAAGACCCCAUGGAGCUUUACUGCAGCUUAAUACUGAGGAUUGGUAAAUCAUGUACAGGAUAGGUGGGAGACGGAGAAACAGAGGCGGCAGCUUCUGCGGAGUCAACCUUGGGAUACCACCCUUGAUUUACUGGUUUUCUAACCUGCGGCCGUGAAACCGGUCGGGGGACACUGUUAGGUGGGCAGUUUGACUGGGGCGGUCGCCUCCUAAAAGGUAACGGAGGCGCUCAAAGGUUCGUUCAGCACGGACGGAAAUCGUGCAGUGAGUGUAAACGCAGAAACGAGCCUAACUGCGACACCGACGGGUGGAGCAGUAACGAAAGUUGGAGUUAGUGAUCCGGCGGUAUGCAAGUGGAAGUGCCGUUGCUCAACGGAUAAAAGCUACCCUGGGGAUAACAGGCUGAUCUCCCCCAAGCGUCCACAGCGACGGGGAGGUUUGGCACCUCGAUGUCGGCUCGUCACAUCCUGGGGCUGAAUUCGGUCCCAAGGGUUCGGCUGUUCGCCGAUUAAAGUGGCACGCGAGCUGGGUUCAGAACGUCGUGAGACAGUUCGGUCCCUAUCUGUUGCGGGCGUAAGAGAUUUGAAGGGAGCUGUCCUUAGUACGAGAGGACCGGGAUGGACAGACCUCUGGUGCAUCAGUUGUCCUGCCAAGGGCACAGCUGGGUAGCUACGUCUGGACGAGAUAAACGCUGAAAGCAUCUAAGCGUGAAACUCCCCCUAAGAUAAGAUCUCUCAUCCAUUAGGAGUAAGGCUCGACGUAGACUAUGUCGUUGAUAGGUCGGAGGUGGAAGCACUGCAAGGUGUGCAGCUGACCGAUACUAAUAAGCCGAGGGCUUGACCG